This 549-nucleotide ribosomal RNA is filed under the name uncultured bacterium. RNAcentral describes it as "bacterial SSU rRNA". It matches the Rfam family "Bacterial small subunit ribosomal RNA", at positions 355 to 896 of the family's 1533-position model. The record is from RNAcentral.
UGGGGAAUAUUGGACAAUGGGCGCAAGCCUGAUCCAGCCAUGCCGCGUGUGUGAAGAAGGCCUUCGGGUUGUAAAGCACUUUCAGUAGGGAGGAAGCGUUGUGUGUUAAUAGUACACAGCGUUGACGUUACCUACAGAAGAAGCACCGGCUAACUCUGUGCCAGCAGCCGCGGUAAUACAGAGGGUGCAAGCGUUAAUCGGAAUUACUGGGCGUAAAGCGCACGUAGGCGGUUUUUUAAGUCAGAUGUGAAAGCCCCGGGCUCAACCUGGGAAUUGCAUUUGAAACUGGAAAACUAGAGUGUGUGGGAGGGGGGUAGAAUUCCAAGUGUAGCGGUGAAAUGCGUAGAGAUUUGGAGGAAUACCAGUGGCGAAGGCGGCCCCCUGGCACAACACUGACGCUCAGGUGCGAAAGCGUGGGGAGCAAACAGGAUUAGAUACCCUGGUAGUCCACGCCGUAAACGAUGUCUACUAGCUGUUCGUGACCUUGUGUCGUGAGUAGCGCAGCUAACGCAUUAAGUAGACCGCCUGGGGAGUACGGUCGCAAGAUUA